GCGGGGCCGGGCACGGGCGGCUGACUGAUGUUUACCAGGGGGUGGAGGCCACUUAAGAGAGAACUGCAGAGAAGAACUGCAUAUUUGAAUGGACUAUUAACACAAGAGCAGCACUUGACAACUGGCUACUUCACCCUUGCCCUGAACUUCCUGCUCAGAGCUUGCCAUGAUUGAUUUUACAGGGCUCACAGAAGUCCUGCGUUUGCUCCUGUUAUCUCUA
Long non-coding RNA from Ficedula albicollis (Collared flycatcher), 220 nucleotides. RefSeq lists it as uncharacterized. The transcript has 3 exons. The record is from RefSeq and is a predicted model, not a curated record. Lineage: Eukaryota; Metazoa; Chordata; Aves; Passeriformes; Muscicapidae.